Molecule: ribosomal RNA, 373 nt
Filed under: uncultured organism
Description: bacterial SSU rRNA
Rfam family: Bacterial small subunit ribosomal RNA
Source: RNAcentral
CAGAGGUCCCAAGCGUUGUUCGGAUUUACUGGGCGUAAAGGGUGCGUAGGCGGUCGGGUAAGUCUGAUGUGAAAUCUCAGAGCUCAACUCUGAAACUGCAUUGGAUACUAUUCGGCUUGAGGUCUGGAGGGGGGACUGGAAUUCUCGGUGUAGCAGUGAAAUGCGUAGAUAUCGAGAGGAACACCAGUGGCGAAGGCGAGUCCCUGGACAGAUCCUGACGCUGAGGCACGAAAGCUAGGGGAGCAAACAGGAUUAGAUACCCUGGUAGUCCUAGCUGUAAACGGUGCUUAUUUGCUGUAAAAGGAAUCGACCCCUUUUGUGGCGUAGCAAACGCGUUAAAUAAGCCGCCUGGGAAGUACGGUCGCAAGAUUAA